UAGUAGCUUCAUCAGAAACUAACCACUGCUACCUGACCACACAACAUCUACGUGUGAGAAACAACAUAUACCUAGAAAAUAGUCACAGAUGUAAUUUAAAGCUUUCCUCCUAAAAAUUUGAGAAGCAUGCAUCCCAAGUAUAUUCAUUUAUCAAGUUCAGCAAAAUUUGAAAAAGGAACAAAGCAAAAUCUUCACGAACUUGCAAAUUUUUGUUUCAUCUUGCCUGGUUAGCUUUAAAUUCCAAAAAAGCAGAUGCAACAGAAUGAAAGAACUCUAAUGGUUGUUUUGCAGUGUGUUUUACAAAGCGCAUGCCAAUAAAAAGCAUUGCCCUUCUAAGGCUUCUGCAUUUUGCUCAGAGGUUUUAAUUAUAUCUUAACACAAAGCUAAUUAUUAAAAAGGUGUAAAGGAACACAGCAUUCCUGCCAACUAACAAUGAAUUUUUUCUACCUUUAAGUAGUUAUUUACUUAAAUCAAAUACUGAUGUUUAUGCAUACAUGGUUUCCACACUUAGUCAUGACACAGAAACAGACACCCACAGGUCAGCUGACCAACUGACAAACUCCUACCCAUCCACCCUUGCAUGUCCUAUGCCAUUUUCUCAUCUUCAAUAACCACUCCAGCAGUUGAUCACUUCCUUUUUUGUUAGCCACUGUACUUACUAAAGACUUCUCCCACUGCAGUUAUCUUACUGUAUUGAAAAUGUUUAUUUGCACACUUGCCUUCUCUACUAAACUCUGAGCUUUCUACAAGUCUGGAUCAAUGUAUUCAUCUCUACAAACAGUACCCACAUACAGGAAGCACUCCAUAGAUAUAUUAAUUAAACACAAUUCUUUACAGUGGAAUAAAUAUUAAAUAUACUCUGAAAAAAAUCACUCUGAAACUCAAAGUCAAGUGUGUUGUAAAAAGAAUCCAAUAUACUAUCUUUAAGGGACCUCAAUAUAGGCCAUAGGACCUGGGCUUUGUAACUCUCAGACUGGGAUCAAACAGCGGUUUCACUGUGUCCUGCCUUGAGCAAAUCAAGAUUCUCUCAGCUGCAGUUUUUAUCCAUACAAUGGAAAUGGUUAACUACUGUGGAUUAUGGUUGCUUGGAACAUAGAAAGUGGUUUAUUUUCCAUUUAUUGGGGAGACAGAGAACAACUAAUGACAAACUUAAGAAAACAAACCUAAAAUAGCAUCAAGUAACCUACUUUCUACUUUUGGAAUCGCCCAAGAGCCAAAGGUGAAGACCUGACUUUCAUAAAAUAAACAUGUUUUAUUUGUAGGUACAUGGUUGCGUACUUUACAAAGUGAACAGCCAGCUCUACGCAGCGGUCCAGGUAUCGACAGUGGGAAACUGUCAGAAACAGCAUGAGAAUGUUCCAUUUUUACCGAUAUUCCUGAAUCUUCUUGCCUCUCUGGACAUAAAGUGGACCAAGUGGUACUGACUCAGUGAAGGCUCUUGGCUACUGCGGUUUGUAUGGAAGCCGCAUCUCUAUAGCCUGUAAGUCAGGGAAGCAGGAAAGGGCUGCUGACAGGAAUGGACUGGGCUGUUUUCUAAAAAAAAAAAAAAAAAUUACUUGGCCUUGACUUCAGGAAUACCUCCAUCCUUGUGGAAGACUCCUUAAUUUUUCCUAAGAGGUGAUAACCUUAGCCCACCUGCCUGUUCAAGACGAUGAAUUGAAUUUGGCAACACAGAAGAGCUACAGUCUAGGAGUCCAGGUUCUUUGUUGUUGUUAUUGUUGUUGAAGUAGGCUCCACACCCAACAUGGGGCUAGAAUUAACGACCCUGAGAUCAAGAGUCCCAUGUUCUACCAAUAGAGCCAGCCAGGCACCACUACAGUCUAGGUCCUUGUCAGAGAUUAGAACCUCAAAUUGUCAGCAGUCCAAAUCUCAUCAAAUAUUUGGUUGUGAGAAAUAAUACAUACAAAGGACAAUACAUGUAAUUGUAUCUAUACCUCUUUCUGGAUAUGCCAUAAUGGCUCUGGCCAAAGUCAGAACAGAAGUAUAAACUUGAAUAACACCAUUUUGGACAAAUUAUACUCUAAUCUUGUUCCUCAGGCUUACAUUAUAUGGAAUAUUGACACGAAAUGUGGCAUCAUCUUUAGUCAAGAAAGGCUGGUGAAAACUGUCAUUACAUCUAGGCCCUAUUCGAAAAGUUUUUCCUAGGUCAUCAUGCCUUGCCUGUGGGCUUUAUUUAUUUAUUUUUAAACUUAUCUUGAUAUAAUUUCAAACUUACAAAAAACAUCUGCCAGAACAGUACAAGGAAUCCCUACAUAACCAUGAUGAAAAUUCACCAACUGUUUACAUUUUGCUUCAUUUGCUUUAGUAUUCUUUCGUGUUUUUAUAUAUGUGCAUACUCUUCCUGAGAAUAAGUUGGAGACAUCACGCUCCUACCCCUAAAUCCUUCAGGGUGCACCUCCUAAGGAAAAAAAAAAAAAACACCCUUUUCUAUAACCACAGUACAAUUAUCAAGAUCAGAAACUUUAUGAUAAAAACACUAUUAUCUAAUUUGCCCUUUAUUCAAGUCUUGUCAUCUGUCCCACUAAUACGCUCUCUAGCUACUUUUGUUUCUAGCCUAGGACCUAGUUUAUGAUCACACAAUGCAUUGGAGAUCCUAGGUCUUUAGUCUGGACCCUCAGUCUUUCUUUCUUUCUUGAUCUUGACAUCUAUGAAGAAGAUAGUUCAGUUAUCUCAUAGACAAACCCUGAAUUUCAUUUUUUUCCCCCAGAUGUUUUCUCAUGAUCAGAUGCAGGUUAUGCAUUCUUGGAAGGAAUAGCAAUGACACGAUGUGACCGUCUUAGAAAAUAUCAGGAAGCAUGUGAUGCUAGUUCUCCCAAUAUUGGUGUUAAUUUUGAUCACAUGAUUAGUGUGGUGUUUGCCAGGUUUCUCCAUAGUAGAGUUACUCUGUUUCCUUUUGUAAUUAACUGGUAAUUUAUGGGGAGAUGAAUUGAGACUAUGUAGAAAUAUCCUAUUCCUCAUCAAACCACUGUCUACCCACUUUGGAUCCAAUGAUGAUUUUCUAAUUCCAUUGCUCUUUCUCUUUGUUGGUUGGAUGUACAUUUUGUCUGGCUGGGCAAGUAUAGAUUAGUAGGACAGAUUCAUAGAGUUAGACUGCAGAGCUAUAACAUACUUACAUAUUAAAUUUUUAUUGCUGACAAUAUUUUAUAAGCACUUUCCUCAGAAAGGCUUAUAGCCACUCAUACUCCCCACCAACAGUGAAUGAAUGCCUUAAAAAACAAAGUUCUCACCAACUCUUGAUAUUAUUAUGUUUAAAUUUUUACCAAAUAUGAUAGGCAUUUCCAAAAAUUUCCAAGAAAUUGUUAACGUGCCAAAGAAAGAAGAGAGGAAGAAAAUCUGAGAGUGUGCAGCAGCUGGAACCUAUUUUAUAGUCCAUACAAUGCAAGACCUUAAAUGAUGCUUGUAUAGACUGCUGGUUCCUUGAGUAAACUAAAAGAAACUUCUUAUAUGCAAAUGAUUACAU
Molecule: long non-coding RNA, 3460 nt
Organism: Leopardus geoffroyi (Geoffroy's cat)
Lineage: Eukaryota; Metazoa; Chordata; Mammalia; Carnivora; Felidae
Exons: 3
Source: RefSeq, a predicted model, not a curated record